UACGAAGGGGGCUAGCGUUGUUCGGAAUUACUGGGCGUAAAGCGCACGUAGGCGGACCAAUGAGGUGAGGGUGAAAUCCCGGGGCUCAACCCCGGAACUGCCUUCAAUACUGUUGGUCUAGAGUCCGAGAGAGGUGAGUGGAAUUCCUAGUGUAGAGGUGAAAUUCGUAGAUAUUAGGAAGAACACCAGUGGCGAAGGCGGCUCACUGGCUCGGUACUGACGCUGAGGUGCGAAAGCGUGGGGAGCAAACAGG
RNAcentral lists this ribosomal RNA (253 nucleotides) under uncultured bacterium. RNAcentral describes it as "partial 16S ribosomal RNA". It matches the Rfam family "Bacterial small subunit ribosomal RNA", at positions 524 to 776 of the family's 1533-position model. The record is from RNAcentral.